RNAcentral lists this ribosomal RNA (530 nucleotides) under Aeromonas sp. Md 218. Its description in RNAcentral is "bacterial SSU rRNA". It matches the Rfam family "Bacterial small subunit ribosomal RNA", at positions 8 to 524 of the family's 1533-position model. The record is from RNAcentral. Lineage: Bacteria; Pseudomonadati; Pseudomonadota; Gammaproteobacteria; Aeromonadales; Aeromonadaceae.
AGAGUUUGAUCCUGGCUCAGAUUGAACGCUGGCGGCAGGCCUAACACAUGCAAGUCGAGCGGCAGCGGGAAAGUAGCUUGCUACUUUUGCCGGCGAGCGGCGGACGGGUGAGUAAUGCCUGGGAAAUUGCCCAGUCGAGGGGGAUAACAGUUGGAAACGACUGCUAAUACCGCAUACGCCCUACGGGGGAAAGCAGGGGACCUUCGGGCCUUGCGCGAUUGGAUAUGCCCAGGUGGGAUUAGCUAGUUGGUGAGGUAAUGGCUCACCAAGGCGACGAUCCCUAGCUGGUCUGAGAGGAUGAUCAGCCACACUGGAACUGAAACACGGUCCAGACUCCUACGGGAGGCAGCAGUGGGGAAUAUUGCACAAUGGGGGAAACCCUGAUGCAGCCAUGCCGCGUGUGUGAAGAAGGCCUUCGGGUUGUAAAGCACUUUCAGCGAGGAGGAAAGGUUGAUGCCUAAUACGUAUCAACUGUGACGGUUACUCGCAGAAGAAGCACCGGCUAACUCCGUGCCAGCAGCCGCGGUAAU